AAAGUGCCCUGGCGAGAGCCGGUGGACUACUCCUCUGGUCCCCUCUUUUUUGAGGGGGUUACCGGGUAACCAAUUGUGAAACUUCUACCUUUGCUUCGGCAGCACUCUCAGCGGGAGCAAUCUUGCUGGAGGGGUAAGGCUGCCAGAAGCCCAUAUCAUAACCAGUUGAUGAAAUGUCAUGCUGUCUGAUAACCAUUAUUUUGAGAAAUCAAAUUAUAUUA
RNAcentral lists this unclassified non-coding RNA (221 nucleotides) under uncultured Ascomycota. RNAcentral describes it as "sequence contains ITS1". Lineage: Eukaryota; Fungi; Ascomycota. The record is from RNAcentral.